GACGAACGCUGGCGGCGUGCUUAACACAUGCAAGUCGAACGGUCCUGUUUUUGAAGCGCUUCGGCGUGGAGGGGACGGGGCAGUGGCGCACGGGUGAGUAAUGCGCGAGGACCUGCCCGCAGGAGGGGGACAGCAGUUGGAAACGGCUGGUGAUACCCCGUAGGCCGGGAGGUGAAAGGGCGGAGACGCCCGCCUGCGGAUGGACUCGCGUCCUAUCAGCUAGUUGGUGAGGCAACGGCUCACCAAGGCGACGACGGGUAGCCGGCCUGAGAGGGUGUCCGGCCACACUGGAACUGAGACACGGUCCAGACUCCUACGGGAGGCAGCAGUGGGGAAUAUUGGACAAUGGGCGCAAGCCUGAUCCAGCCAUGCCGCGUGAGUGAUGAGGGCCUUAGGGUUGUAAAGCUCUUUCAGUGGGGACGAUAAUGACGGUACCCACAGAAGAAGCCCCGGCUAACUUCGUG
RNAcentral lists this ribosomal RNA (464 nucleotides) under uncultured bacterium. RNAcentral's name for it is "bacterial SSU rRNA". It matches the Rfam family "Bacterial small subunit ribosomal RNA", at positions 28 to 507 of the family's 1533-position model. The record is from RNAcentral.